CCCUUAGAUGUCCGGGGCCGCACGCGCGCUACACUGAAGGAAUCAGCGUGGCUUUCUCCCUGACCCGAAAGGGUUGGGAAACCCGUUGAAUCUCAUUCGUGAUAGGGAUUGGGGCUUGAAAUUGUUCCCCAUGAACGAGGAAUUCCCAGUAAGCGCGAGUCAUAAGCUCGCGUUGAUUACGUCCCUGCCCUUUGUACACACCGCCCGUCGCUACUACCGAUUGAACGGUUUAGUGAGGGCCUCGGAUUGGUCUCGGCCCGCUCUUUACCGGGCGGCGCCGUUGGUCGAGAAGACGCUCGAACUUGAUCGUUUAGAGGAAGUAAAAGUCGUAACA
This 334-nucleotide ribosomal RNA is filed under the name uncultured eukaryote. RNAcentral describes it as "partial 18S ribosomal RNA". It matches the Rfam family "Eukaryotic small subunit ribosomal RNA", at positions 1470 to 1796 of the family's 1831-position model. The record is from RNAcentral.